Molecule: ribosomal RNA, 301 nt
Filed under: uncultured bacterium
Lineage: Bacteria
Description: partial 16S ribosomal RNA
Rfam family: Bacterial small subunit ribosomal RNA
Source: RNAcentral
CAGUAGCCGCGGGAAUACGUAGGGUGCAAGCGUUAAUCGGAAUUACUGGGCGUAAAGCGUGCGCAGGCGGUCCGCUAAGACAGAUGUGAAAUCCCCGGGCUUAACCUGGGAACUGCAUUUGUGACUGGCGGGCUAGAGUAUGGCAGAGGGGGGUAGAAUUCCACGUGUAGCAGUGAAAUGCGUAGAUAUGUGGAGGAACACCGAUGGCGAAGGCAGCCCCCUGGGCUAAGAUUGACGCUCAUGCACGAAAGCGUGGGGAGCAAACAGGAUUAGAUACCCGAGUAGUCCCUGUCUCUUAUAC